Molecule: ribosomal RNA, 254 nt
Filed under: uncultured bacterium
Lineage: Bacteria
Description: partial 16S ribosomal RNA
Rfam family: Bacterial small subunit ribosomal RNA
Source: RNAcentral
UACGAGGGGAGCAAGCGUUGUUCGGAUUUACUGGGCGUAAAGGGCGCGUAGGCGGUCGUGACAAGUCACUUGUGAAAUCUCCGGGCUUAACUCGGAACGGUCAAGUGAUACUGUCGGACUAGAGUACAGAAGGGGCAACUGGAAUUCUCGGUGUAGCGGUGAAAUGCGUAGAUAUCGGGAGGAACACCAGUGGCGAAGGCGACUACCUGGCCUGUUCUUGACGCUGAGGCGCGAAAGCUAGGGGAGCAAACGGG